GCCUGGUGGGCACAGUGGCAGAUGCCUAUAGGCCCAGUUACUUGGGAGGCUGAGGCAGAAGUUUCACUUGAGUCUAGGAAUUCUGGGCUGUAGCGUGCUCCACCAAUCAUGUGUCCACAAUAAAUUCGGCAUCAAUAUGGUGACCGUGUGGGAGCAGGGGACCACUAGGUUGCCUAAGAAUGGGUGAACUGACCCAGGUCAGAAAUGAAGGAGGUCAAAACCGCAGUGCUGGGGUAUGGUGGCUCACAUCUGUAAUCCUAGCACUUUAGGAGGCUGAGGUGGGAUGACUGCUUGAGGCCAAACGUUCUAAACCAGCCUGGGCAACAUACUGAGACUCCAUCGCU
Molecule: unclassified non-coding RNA, 344 nt
Organism: Aotus nancymaae (Ma's night monkey)
Lineage: Eukaryota; Metazoa; Chordata; Mammalia; Primates; Aotidae
Rfam family: Metazoan signal recognition particle RNA
About the family: The signal recognition particle (SRP) is a universally conserved ribonucleoprotein.
Source: Ensembl